RNAcentral lists this long non-coding RNA (237 nucleotides) under Lathyrus oleraceus (garden pea). RNAcentral describes it as "Pisum sativum (pea) long non-coding RNA (PSAT_LNC030784)". Lineage: Eukaryota; Viridiplantae; Streptophyta; Magnoliopsida; Fabales; Fabaceae. The record is from RNAcentral.
AAAAAUUUGUUGUGCAUUUUUAAUAUGAUAGGUAUGACUAAACUCUAAAUUGUACAUCAUUUAUGGUAGAUCAAUUAACCUUGUGAGAUUUUGAGCCUUAUAUGGAUAACAUACAAAAAUCUAUCUCUUUCUUUCUUGUGUGAUUCACUCAUGUCUGUUAGUAUCUAGAACUUGAAUUGAAUCUUGUUGAUGAUGUUGUUUACUUGUGUACACUGAUAUAAUAAAGACAAUUUUUUU